UACAGAGGAGCCAAGCGUUGUCCGGAUUGACUGGGCGUAAAGCGCACGCAGGCGGAUGCGCGCGUGGGGUGUGAAAUCUGGCCGCUUAACGGCCAGGCGCCAUCCCAUACGGCGCGUCUGGAGUGAUGCAGAGGUCGGUGGAAUUCCGGGUGUAGUGGUGAAAUGCGUAGAGAUCCGGAGGAACACCAGUGGCGAAAGCGGCCACCUGGACUGUACCUGACGCUGAAACGCGAAAGCUAGGGGAGCGAACGGG
RNAcentral lists this ribosomal RNA (253 nucleotides) under uncultured bacterium. RNAcentral's name for it is "partial 16S ribosomal RNA". It matches the Rfam family "Bacterial small subunit ribosomal RNA", at positions 524 to 776 of the family's 1533-position model. The record is from RNAcentral.